RNAcentral lists this long non-coding RNA (271 nucleotides) under Pogona vitticeps (central bearded dragon). Its description in RNAcentral is "lncRNA (ENSPVIG00000020392.1)". Lineage: Eukaryota; Metazoa; Chordata; Lepidosauria; Squamata; Agamidae. The record is from RNAcentral.
CUGUCCUCUUGGCAGUCAUUCAGUCAGUCCCUCUAGGAGAGCAAAGGACGGUAAGCAAGAGCUGCCCAAGGAAUUGUACUGAUGCGGGAGGAAGAAGGAAUACAGUGACAAGCUUGCCAUAAGCCCUAUUUGAGUGUUAUAGUCUGUAAUUGUGGAGAAGGAGAGAGGGAUGUUUGCUCAAGCGGUCCUCCUUCACAGGGCUUUGGAUUGCCUGGAGGUUCUCAUUCAGGAAACUAAUCAAAUCUUUACAUAAUUUUCAUUGACUUGGACG